GCGGCCAUGGAGAGGAAUAAACAGUCAACGUUUUGGGCAGCAUCAUAUCUAUCGAUGCUGCCCGACCUGCUGAGCACCCCCAGCAAUUUGUGCGCGUUGCCGUGAAAUCUGUUGUUUUGCGGUGGCAGUUCAGUACAAUUUUAAAUUUCUCUGGGGUGUUCCGAUGCCCGGGAUGGUGGCAGAGAGAGGCUUUUAAGAGAUGUUUAUGGAUGCAAGGAAAAUGGAGGGAUAUGGAGAUGGUGCAGCAGUCGGAAGCCACAUACUCAGUGGAAGGGACAAGAGGGAUGACAAAUCAAGUUCUGUUUGUGUGGCGAAAAGGGAACCCAAGGCAUUGAAGUUUCCAUACCAGGCCGCGAUGCAAGGAUACUCUCCACUGUGUGUCUAUGGAAGUUGGACAGUUUAUAACACUGGACAACAAUGAUUUUGCUUCCUGAACUCUUUUGGGUGUAUCUUUUGGAUUUUGGGCCUCUGAUCACGAAAAUCACCAUGAAAUUUCCCUAUCACACACCUUUUUUUGAAAUCAUAUUUGUUACUUCAAUUCAUAAUUCAAGCCAAUAACUAAUGCCAAGAUUAAGGAAGGCAUUUUUGUUAGUCUACAAAUCAAACUGGUCAUCAAUGAAAGGCAAUUUAAAGAGCUUCUAGUGGGACCGGAGAAAAUCGCAUGGAAGGCAUCCAAGAAUGUUGUUGAAAUUUUCUUGGCAACUACAGAACACCAAACUACGUGCAGCUAGUUAACAACAUGCUUCAAGCAUACAAAACCAUGAUCUGCAACAUGUCACCGAAGAUUCAUUUUCUGCAUUCCCAUUUAGACUUCCUCCCUGCAAAUCUUGGCACUGUCAGUGACGAGCAUGGUGAAAGGUUUCACCAGGACAUUUUGAACUUUUUACUGUCGGAUAUUGAACUUUUUACUGUUGGACUUCGGCCACAUUCCACCGAGAUACAACACUGGGCGGCAUGGGAGGUCGUUCCAUCGAACAUGCAGCUCCUCCCGUGGAGGGUCAGACACCCUGAGCCAAUAGACUGGUCCUGGACUUAUUUUCCAUCUGGCAUAGUUUGCAUUUUGUUGAUUGAUUGUUUGUGGUUUUUGUAUUGCUAUAUUUACACUCUAUUCUUGGUUGGUGUGGCUGUAAUGGAACCCAAUUUCCCUCAGGAUUAAUAAAGUAUAUCUAUCUAUUAGUCAUGGAGAAACGGUAUCAGGGCAUCUGGAAUCCAUCAAUGUUGGCUGAUUAUUGUUGGACACUUAAAUGAGAAG
This is a long non-coding RNA of Mobula hypostoma (lesser devil ray), 1252 nucleotides long. RefSeq lists it as uncharacterized. Lineage: Eukaryota; Metazoa; Chordata; Chondrichthyes; Myliobatiformes; Myliobatidae. The record is from RefSeq and is a predicted model, not a curated record. The transcript is spliced from 3 exons.